AUACGUAGGUGACAAGCGUUAUCCGGAUUUACUGGGCGUAAAGGGCGUGUAGGCGGUCUUGCAAGUCAGAAGUGAAAUUCCUGAGCUCAACUCGGGCGCUGCUUCUGAAACUGCAGGACUUGAGUGCAGGAGAGGUUAUCGGAAUUCCCGGUGUAGCGGUGAAAUGCGUAGAGAUCGGGAGGAACACCAGUGGCGAAGGCGGGUAACUGGACUGCAACUGACGCUGAGGCGCGAAAGUGUGGGGAGCAAACAGGAUUAGAUACCCUGGUAGUCCACACUGUAAACGAUGAAUGCUAGGUGUAGGAGGUAUCGACCCCUUCUGUGCCGCAGUAAACACAGUAAGCAUUCCGCCUGGGGAGUACGGUCGCAAGAUUAAAACUCAAAGGAAUUGACGGGG
RNAcentral lists this ribosomal RNA (397 nucleotides) under uncultured bacterium. Its description in RNAcentral is "partial 16S ribosomal RNA". It matches the Rfam family "Bacterial small subunit ribosomal RNA", at positions 523 to 918 of the family's 1533-position model. The record is from RNAcentral.